CAGCACCCCGAGUGGUCGGGACGAUUAUUGGGCCUAAAGCAUCCGUAGCCGGUUCUGCAAGUCUUCCGUUAAAUCCAUCUGCUUAACAGAUGGGCUGCAGAGGAUACUAUAGAGCUAGGAGGCGGGAGAGGCAAGCGGUACUUAGUGGGUAGGGGUAAAAUCCGUUGAUCCACUGAAGACCACCAGUGGCGAAGGCGGCUUGCCAGAACGCACUCGACGGUGAGGGAUGAAAGCUGGGGGAGCAAACCGGAUUAGAGACCCGAGUAGUCC
Molecule: ribosomal RNA, 270 nt
Filed under: uncultured archaeon
Lineage: Archaea
Description: partial 16S ribosomal RNA
Rfam family: Archaeal small subunit ribosomal RNA
Source: RNAcentral